Molecule: ribosomal RNA, 263 nt
Filed under: uncultured Staphylococcus sp.
Lineage: Bacteria; Bacillati; Bacillota; Bacilli; Caryophanales; Staphylococcaceae
Description: partial 16S ribosomal RNA
Rfam family: Bacterial small subunit ribosomal RNA
Source: RNAcentral
CGGACGGGUGAGUAACACGUGGAUAACCUACCUAUAAGACUGGGAUAACUUCGGGAAACCGGAGCUAAUACCGGAUAAUAUAUUGAACCGCAUGGUUCAAUAGUGAAAGACGGUUUUGCUGUCACUUAUAGAUGGAUCCGCGCUGCAUUAGCUAGUUGGUAAGGUAACGGCUUACCAAGGCAACGAUGCGUAGUCGACCUGAGAGGGUGAUCGGCCACACUGGAACUGAGACACGGUCCAGACUCCUACGGGAGGCAGCAGGC